UAGCUCAGUGGUAGAGUACGUGCCUAGCAUGCAUGAGGUCCUGGGUUCAAUCCCCAG
RNAcentral lists this transfer RNA (57 nucleotides) under Camelus bactrianus (Bactrian camel). It matches the Rfam family "tRNA", at positions 8 to 63 of the family's 71-position model. Rfam says of the family: Transfer RNA (tRNA) molecules are approximately 80 nucleotides in length. Their secondary structure includes four short double-helical elements and three loops (D, anti-codon, and T loops). The record is from Rfam by way of RNAcentral. Lineage: Eukaryota; Metazoa; Chordata; Mammalia; Artiodactyla; Camelidae. RNAcentral also lists the same sequence under 2 other names.